This 280-nucleotide ribosomal RNA is filed under the name [Ruminococcus] lactaris ATCC 29176. RNAcentral's name for it is "partial 16S ribosomal RNA". It matches the Rfam family "Bacterial small subunit ribosomal RNA", at positions 495 to 776 of the family's 1533-position model. Lineage: Bacteria; Bacillati; Bacillota; Clostridia; Lachnospirales; Lachnospiraceae. The record is from RNAcentral.
UAUGAAUUGUGCCAGCAGCCGCGGUAAUACGUAGGGGGCAAGCGUUAUCCGGAUUUACUGGGUGUAAAGGGAGCGUAGACGGAGCAGCAAGUCUGAUGUGAAAACCCGGGGCUCAACCCCGGGACUGCAUUGGAAACUGUUGAUCUGGAGUGCCGGAGAGGUAAGCGGAAUUCCUAGUGUAGCGGUGAAAUGCGUAGAUAUUAGGAGGAACACCAGUGGCGAAGGCGGCUUACUGGACGGUAACUGACGUUGAGGCUCGAAAGCGUGGGGAGCAAACAGG